This is a long non-coding RNA of Rosa rugosa (rugosa rose), 1408 nucleotides long. RefSeq lists it as uncharacterized. The transcript has 2 exons. NCBI's taxonomy places the organism in Eukaryota, Viridiplantae, Streptophyta, Magnoliopsida, Rosales, Rosaceae. The record is from RefSeq and is a predicted model, not a curated record.
UACCACAUGCAUAUACUGCUUCACCGGUACAAAAUGCAUGCGGAGCUCGAAAGCAGAAUAUCGGUUUUCUUGAACUUCACUAGCUGCUACCUCUAGUUUCUAUUACACUUCUAUAAAUCGAACUGUCUUCAUCACCAUUUCUAUUCCAUUUCUUCAGCUUCCAUAACCACUCUGCAGUUUCUAUCAAAUUCUUCGCUAUAUAUAUGAUCGGAACGGCGGGCUUUAGUUACGACCAUAUCAGAUGAUGAUCAGAUGAGAAAUGUAUAUAUCAGUGAGUGAUUUCCAUGCUAACCUUGUCAAAUGAACAGUUUCUUGCCGUUAGUUAUAUCUCUGUCUCGUUGUCUGUUCGACCUUGAACCUUCAACGUAUUAAUUCUAUCUAUAUCUCAAGUUUCUCAUAGCCUUCGGAUCAUCUAGAAUUCUUGAUUCAAUUAGCUGCAUUUUUCUUAGUAGAUCGAUAUUUAGUAUAAAGAUUUUAAUGACAAAUUAGUUCUGCAUAUAUAUAUGGCUGGAAUUAAGGGAAAAAUAGUUUCGAUGUUUGUUAGUCAUGAUCAUGGCUAGAACUCUAAAUUGAAAUUAAUCAUAAUAACGAAUCGUAAUUAGCAAUAAUUAGCAGGUAAUAACCAAAUAAAAUAAGGGUCAAGGUCAAUCAGACAACCAAGUUGAGGUAUUCGUAAGAACUGCUUGCUUGACGAGGCUUUGUAUGGACAUCAACAUUGUCAUCAUUUGUUGCACAAACCUCGCUAAUCAACCAUAUAUUCAACCUCUUGCUGACGGACAUGAUGAGAAAUCAAGAGAAGCAGCUGUGGUUCAAAGAGUAGUUGGUUACCCUUGGUAACGUGUAGUGAUCAGAGAGAUGAUUAGAUGAAUAUAGCUGGCAUAUGCAAAUACAGUCAGAAGUUUUUGGGUUCACCCAAAUAAUUCGGUUUUGUGUAUAUAUUUUAUAUUCUAAAAAUAAAUAUAUAGAUAAUAAAUAAAUAAGUUACUUCUCAUAAAAUUCAUUAAAUUUGAUACAUUUGUGUAUCAAUAUAGGGUGUCGGCCCAAUUUAUUAUGGAAUCACAUUGAUAUGACUACUUGCAUUUUCGUAUGAGAAAAUUUUACAAACGGUACUCCAAAUAAAAGUCAUUCAUCACUUUAGUAUAUCAAUUUCAAAAACUAUCAUUUAGUACCCCAACAUUAAAACUUGAACCACUUUUAGUACCUACUGUCUAUGACGGCGUCAACUCCAUUACCACGUAAACUAUUUCAUGGGCAAUUUUGUCUUUUCAUCUUCUCAGUUUUUCUUUUUCCUUUUUUCUUUGGCAAUAAUUUUUUUUUCUUUUUUCCUCUUUUUCCUCUCUCUCUCUCUCUCUCUCUCUCUCUCUCUCUCUCUCUCUCUCUCUCUCUCUCUCUCUCUCUCUCUCUCUCU